GGGCUUAAUUGUUGUCAUAAGUCAAGGACUACUCGUUAAGGGGAUAGGAAGUAGAUAUUUUCCUCCAAAUUGGCACAUCCAAUGGAUUCCUCCCUCUCUCUCUCUCUGCUUCCUCUGAAUACUUGCUGGAAAGGUGAGGGAAGCCUACUUCAUAUGAAGUCAUUUCCACAGAUUAAAGUUUUACCUGAAACUCAACCUUUUCAGCUUUAAUCCAAGAUAUAGUGGAGCCAGAUGAAGAAAUAUAAGACUUACUUGUUCUUUUUUUUUUUUACAAAAGGUGAAUCCAAUUCUCCAAACGAUGUUACAUGACCCAUUGGCAAUCUUUGUUGGUCUGGCCUCCUCUUUGAAAUGCAAGGAAACCUGGAUUCCUGCCGCAGGAAAAGCCUAACCCCCGUACCAGUAACUUCCCAGGCUCCUCUUUUCAGAAUCUCCAGCCAGGGUGGCUGUCAGAAGAGGACCUGGCUGGAGAAAACAGAUCUUAAUCACCCCAGUCUAGAGAUGCUUUCUCGGAAAGCAGCAGUUGUUGACUUGCGGUUCAUGCCGCAGAGGUGAAAAAAAAAGCGUUCCACACAUUUCCAGACAAUCCUCCGUUUUUACUUUGGCAAAAA
This is a non-coding RNA of Notechis scutatus (mainland tiger snake), 608 nucleotides long. Lineage: Eukaryota; Metazoa; Chordata; Lepidosauria; Squamata; Elapidae. The record is from RefSeq and is a predicted model, not a curated record.